GACAGAGGUGCCGAGCGUUAGGCGGAAUCACUGGGCGUUAAAGCGUGUGUAGGCGGAUCGUUAAGUACCUUGUGAAAUCCCACGGCUUAACCGUGGAACUGCUUGGUAUACUGGGCGAUCUUGAGCCACCUAGGGGCAACCGGAACAAAUGGUGGAGCGGUGAAAUGCGUAGAUAUCGUGAGGAACACCAGAGGCGAAGGCGGCUACCUGGACAAUUGCUGACGCUCAGGCACGAAAGCGUGGGGAGCAAAAGGG
Molecule: ribosomal RNA, 255 nt
Filed under: uncultured bacterium
Lineage: Bacteria
Description: partial 16S ribosomal RNA
Rfam family: Bacterial small subunit ribosomal RNA
Source: RNAcentral